RNAcentral lists this ribosomal RNA (763 nucleotides) under uncultured Streptococcus sp. Its description in RNAcentral is "bacterial SSU rRNA". It matches the Rfam family "Bacterial small subunit ribosomal RNA", at positions 28 to 776 of the family's 1533-position model. The record is from RNAcentral. Lineage: Bacteria; Bacillati; Bacillota; Bacilli; Lactobacillales; Streptococcaceae.
GACGAACGCUGGCGGCGUGCCUAAUACAUGCAAGUAGGACGCUGAAGGAGGAGCUUGCUUCUCUGGAUGAGUUGCGAACGGGUGAGUAACGCGUAGGUAACCUGCCUGGUAGCGGGGGAUAACUAUUGGAAACGAUAGCUAAUACCGCAUAAUAGUAGAUGUUGCAUGACAUUUACUUAAAAGGUGCAAUUGCAUCACUACCAGAUGGACCUGCGUUGUAUUAGCUAGUUGGUGGGGUAACGGCUCACCAAGGCGACGAUACAUAGCCGACCUGAGAGGGUGAUCGGCCACACUGGGACUGAGACACGGCCCAGACUCCUACGGGAGGCAGCAGUAGGGAAUCUUCGGCAAUGGACGGAAGUCUGACCGAGCAACGCCGCGUGAGUGAAGAAGGUUUUCGGAUCGUAAAGCUCUGUUGUAAGAGAAGAACGAGUGUGAGAGUGGAAAGUUCACACUGUGACGGUAUCUUACCAGAAAGGGACGGCUAACUACGUGCCAGCAGCCGCGGUAAUACGUAGGUCCCGAGCGUUGUCCGGAUUUAUUGGGCGUAAAGCGAGCGCAGGCGGUUAGAUAAGUCUGAAGUUAAAGGCUGUGGCUUAACCAUAGUACGCUUUGGAAACUGUUUAACUUGAGUGCAAGAGGGGAGAGUGGAAUUCCAUGUGUAGCGGUGAAAUGCGUAGAUAUAUGGAGGAACACCGGUGGCGAAAGCGGCUCUCUGGCUUGUAACUGACGCUGAGGCUCGAAAGCGUGGGGAGCAAACAGG